Molecule: ribosomal RNA, 167 nt
Filed under: uncultured bacterium
Lineage: Bacteria
Description: partial 16S ribosomal RNA
Rfam family: Bacterial small subunit ribosomal RNA
Source: RNAcentral
CCACGGGAGGCAGCAGUGGGGAAUAUUCCGCAAUGGGCGCAAGCCUGACGGAGCAAUGCCGCGUGAGGGAAGAAGGCCUUCGGGUUGUAAACCUUUGUUUUAUGGGAAGAUAGUGACGGUACCAUAAGAGGAAGCCCCGGCUAACUACGUGCCAGCAGCCGCGGUAA